AGGUCACUGCUAUCGGGGUUCGAUUAAGCCAUGCGAGUCGAGAGGGUUCGGCCCUCGGCGUACUGCUCAGUAACACGUGGAUAACCUGCCCUAGGGAAGGGGAUAACCCCGGGAAACUGGGGAUAAUACCCUAUAGAUUACAGAUGCUGGAGUGCCCUGUAAUCCAAAGUUCCGACGCCCUAGGAUGGAUCUGCGGCCGAUUAGGUUGUUGUUGGGGUAAUGGCCCAACAAGCCCGUAAUCGGUACGGGUUGUGGGAGCAAGAGCCCGGAGUUGGAUUCUGAGUCACGAAUCCAGGCCCUACGGGGCGCAGCAGGCGCGAAAACUUUACAAUGCGGGCAACCGUGAUAAGGGAACCUCGAGUGCCUGUAAAUGCAGGCUGUUCAGGUGCCUAAAACACACCUGAAGAAAGGGCCGGGCAAGACCGGUGCCAGCCGCCGCGGUAAUACCGGCGGCUCGAGUGGUGGCCGCUUUUAUUGGGCUUAAAGCGUUCGUAGCUGGGUUGUUAAGUCUCUUGGGAAAUCUGGCGGCUUAACCGUCAGGCGUCUAAGGGAUACUGGCAAUCUUGGAACCGGGAGAGGUGAGGGGUACUUCGGGGGUAGGAGUGAAAUCCUGUAAUCCUCGAGGGACCACCUGUGGCGAAAGCGCCUCACCAAAAC
RNAcentral lists this ribosomal RNA (657 nucleotides) under uncultured archaeon. RNAcentral describes it as "bacterial SSU rRNA". It matches the Rfam family "Archaeal small subunit ribosomal RNA", at positions 21 to 686 of the family's 1478-position model. The record is from RNAcentral.